Molecule: ribosomal RNA, 483 nt
Filed under: uncultured bacterium
Lineage: Bacteria
Description: partial 16S ribosomal RNA
Rfam family: Bacterial small subunit ribosomal RNA
Source: RNAcentral
AUUGAACGCUGGCGGCAGGCCUAACACAUGCAAGUCGAGCGGAUGAAGGGAGCUUGCUCCUGGAUUCAGCGGCGGACGGGUGAGUAAUGCCUAGGAAUCUGCCUGGUAGUGGGGGAUAACGUCCGGAAACGGGCGCUAAUACCGCAUACGUCCUGAGGGAGAAAGUGGGGGAUCUUCGGACCUCACGCUAUCAGAUGAGCCUAGGUCGGAUUAGCUAGUUGGUGGGGUAAAGGCCUACCAAGGCGACGAUUCGUAACUGGUCUGAGAGGAUGAUCAGUCACACUGGAACUGAGACACGGUCCAGACUCCUACGGGAGGCAGCAGUGGGGAAUAUUGGACAAUGGGCGAAAGCCUGAUCCAGCCAUGCCGCGUGUGUGAAGAAGGUCUGCGGAUUGUAAAGCACUUUAAGUUGGGAGGAAGGGCAGUAAGUUAAUACCUUGCUGUUUUGACGUUACCAACAGAAUAAGCACCGGCUAACUUCGU